GCCGAUUUGGUCCUAGUCCCAACUUUAGCUAAUUUCAAGAUGCCACAUGCAAGCUUGCUAGCAAACCAGUGAAGUAAAAUUUCCCCCUUUUUUAACUCUAAAGAUAAUAAGGCAGAAACUCUAGUAUCAGGAAAAUAAUAAAUACCUACGACACUAGGCAAUACGCCACAACUGCAGUGCUAAACAUUAGACAAUCGAAAAUAUUCGGAUCUAGCGAAGAAAAUAACAAGGGGGUAAAAUACGUGCCAGCCACCGCGGUUAUACGUAUACCCUAAAGCUAAAUAAUACGGUUAAAAGGGUGGUUAGAAGCAAUAAAGAUUGGUAAUAGCUCCCAGCUAGUGGUAAAAAACUAAUCUGAGAAGAAACUUUUUUGCCAAACUAAAUAUUUGAACCCACGAAAACUAAGGCCUAAACCAGGAUUAGAUACCCUGUUAUACUUAGACGUAAACAACCUAAGCACCAGAGAACUACGAACCUAAAGUUUAAAACUCAAAGGACUUGGCGGUUUUCCAAACCUCCCUGGAGGAGCUUGCCAUUGAAUCGAUAAUCCACGAAAUACCUCACCAGCUUUUGUAUAAUCAGCUUGUAUACCAUCGUCGUAAGUCUACUUCUCAAGAAAGUUGACCCCAAGGAAAUAUUCCUAGACGUCAGAUCAAGGUGCAGCAUAUGGGCUGGGGAUAGGUGAGCUACAAUGUUUGAAUAAACCAGCAAAAAUAGAAAUGAAAAACUCUCUAGAAGUUGGAUUCAGCAGUAAGCCCCAAAUAGAUAGUGGGGCUGAAAAGAGCUCUGGAAUGCGUACACAUCGCCCGUCACUCUCGCCUAGCUUGUCUAAGUAAGGGGAGAAAAGUCGUAACACAAUAGGCACACCGGAAGGUGUGCCUGGAAAAU
RNAcentral lists this non-coding RNA (888 nucleotides) under Sterechinus neumayeri. Its description in RNAcentral is "12S ribosomal RNA". It matches the Rfam family "Bacterial small subunit ribosomal RNA". Lineage: Eukaryota; Metazoa; Echinodermata; Echinoidea; Camarodonta; Echinidae. The record is from RNAcentral.